Molecule: ribosomal RNA, 253 nt
Filed under: uncultured bacterium
Lineage: Bacteria
Description: partial 16S ribosomal RNA
Rfam family: Bacterial small subunit ribosomal RNA
Source: RNAcentral
UACGUAGGGUCCGAGCGUUAAUCGGAAUUACUGGGCGUAAAGCGUGCGCAGGCGGUUUUGUAAGCCAGAUGUGAAAGCCCCGGGCUUAACCUGGGAAUGGCAUUUGGGACUGCAAGGCUGGAGUACGGCAGAGGGAGGUGGAAUUCCAGGUGUAGCAGUGAAAUGCGUAGAUAUCUGGAGGAACACCGAUGGCGAAGGCAGCCUCCUGGGCUAAUACUGACGCUCAUGCACGAAAGCGUGGGGAGCAAACAGG